RNAcentral lists this ribosomal RNA (497 nucleotides) under uncultured bacterium. Its description in RNAcentral is "partial 16S ribosomal RNA". It matches the Rfam family "Bacterial small subunit ribosomal RNA", at positions 28 to 507 of the family's 1533-position model. The record is from RNAcentral.
GAUGAACGCUGGCGGCGUGCCUAAUACAUGCCAGUCGAGCGAACAGACGAGGAGCUUGCUCCUCUGACGUUAGCGGCGGACGGGUGAGUAACACGUGGAUAACCUACCUAUAAGACUGGGAUAACUUCGGGAAACCGGAGCUAAUACCGGAUAAUAUAUUGAACCGCAUUGUUCAAUAGUGAAAGACGGUUUUGCUGUCACUUAUAGAUGGAUCCGCGCCGCAUUAGCUAGUUGGUAAGGUAACGGCUUACCAAGGCAACGAUGCGUAGCCGACCUGAGAGGGGGAUCGGCAACACUGGAACUGAGAAAGGGUCCAGACUCCUACGGGAGGCAGCAGUAGGGAAUCUUCCGCAAUGGGCGAAAGCCUGACGGAGCAACGCAGCGUGAGUGAUGAAGGUCUUCGGAUCGUAAAACUCUGUUAUUAGGGAAGAACAAAUGUGUAAGUAACUAUGCACGUCUUGACGGUACCUAAUCAGAAAGCCACGGCUAACUACGUG